RNAcentral lists this unclassified non-coding RNA (398 nucleotides) under fungal sp. RNAcentral's name for it is "partial internal transcribed spacer region". The stretch from base 1 to 46 matches the Rfam family "Eukaryotic small subunit ribosomal RNA", at positions 1786 to 1831 of the family's 1831-position model. Lineage: Eukaryota; Fungi. The record is from RNAcentral.
AAGUCGUAACAAGGUUUCCGUAGGUGAACCUGCGGAAGGAUCAUUAAAACGUAUCCAACGUUAACUAAUUGUGAACUCGUUUCCUCCCUUGGUAAUUGAGAAAUUGGAGCUGUGAUCGACAUUGAGUGGGAUUUUCCUUUUCGGAGGGGAAUCGGUCAGUCACAGUCACUUCAUAAUCUUUUUGGAUUGUGUGACAAUAGUAUCUUUUGCUGAGGAUUCUUUCUUUCUGUUUGCCAUCCUCCAUUCAAGGAUGCGGCAGUAAGAGUGUAUACUAACCAUUAUCACCCCCUUUUUUGCUAGUUGACUUUUUUAAUGUUGAUGUCUACGAAAGUAGAGAUUCACACGUUUCAUUAUUUGAACGUAAAAUACAACUCUUAGCAAUGGAUAUCUAGGUUCUC